Molecule: ribosomal RNA, 2890 nt
Filed under: Pseudomonas sp. JQ170
Lineage: Bacteria; Pseudomonadati; Pseudomonadota; Gammaproteobacteria; Pseudomonadales; Pseudomonadaceae
Also listed under: 1 other name
Description: 23S ribosomal RNA
Rfam family: Bacterial large subunit ribosomal RNA
Source: RNAcentral
GGUCAAGUGAAGAAGCGCAUACGGUGGAUGCCUUGGCAGUCAGAGGCGAUGAAAGACGUGGUAGCCUGCGAUAAGCUUCGGGGAGUCGGCAAACAGACUUUGAUCCGGAGAUCUCUGAAUGGGGGAACCCACUCAGCAUAAGCUGAGUAUCUUGUACUGAAUACAUAGGUGCAAGAGGCGAACCAGGGGAACUGAAACAUCUAAGUACCCUGAGGAAAAGAAAUCAACCGAGAUUCCCUUAGUAGUGGCGAGCGAACGGGGACUAGCCCUUAAGUGGCUUUGAGAUUAGCGGAACGCUCUGGAAAGUGCGGCCAUAGUGGGUGAUAGCCCUGUACGCGAAAAUCUCUUAGUCAUGAAAUCGAGUAGGACGGAGCACGAGAAACUUUGUCUGAAUAUGGGGGGACCAUCCUCCAAGGCUAAAUACUACUGACUGACCGAUAGUGAACCAGUACCGUGAGGGAAAGGCGAAAAGAACCCCGGAGAGGGGAGUGAAAUAGAACCUGAAACCGUAUGCGUACAAGCAGUGGGAGCCUACUUGUUAGGUGACUGCGUACCUUUUGUAUAAUGGGUCAGCGACUUAUAUUCAGUGGCGAGCUUAACCGAAUAGGGGAGGCGUAGCGAAAGCGAGUCUUAAUAGGGCGCUUAGUCGCUGGGUAUAGACCCGAAACCGGGCGAUCUAUCCAUGGGCAGGUUGAAGGUUAGGUAACACUGACUGGAGGACCGAACCGACUACCGUUGAAAAGUUAGCGGAUGACCUGUGGAUCGGAGUGAAAGGCUAAUCAAGCUCGGAGAUAGCUGGUUCUCCUCGAAAGCUAUUUAGGUAGCGCCUCAUGUAUCACUGUAGGGGGUAGAGCACUGUUUCGGCUAGGGGGUCAUCCCGACUUACCAAACCGAUGCAAACUCCGAAUACCUACAAGUGCCGAGCAUGGGAGACACACGGCGGGUGCUAACGUCCGUCGUGAAAAGGGAAACAACCCAGACCGUCAGCUAAGGUCCCAAAGUCAUGGUUAAGUGGGAAACGAUGUGGGAAGGCUUAGACAGCUAGGAGGUUGGCUUAGAAGCAGCCACCCUUUAAAGAAAGCGUAAUAGCUCACUAGUCGAGUCGGCCUGCGCGGAAGAUGUAACGGGGCUCAAACCAUGCACCGAAGCUACGGGUAUCACUUAGGUGAUGCGGUAGAGGAGCGUUCUGUAAGCCUGUGAAGGUGAGUUGAGAAGCUUGCUGGAGGUAUCAGAAGUGCGAAUGCUGACAUGAGUAACGACAAUGGGAGUGAAAAACUCCCACGCCGAAAGACCAAGGUUUCCUGCGCAACGUUAAUCGACGCAGGGUUAGUCGGUCCCUAAGGCGAGGCUGAAAAGCGUAGUCGAUGGAAAACAGGUUAAUAUUCCUGUACUUCUAGUUAUUGCGAUGGAGGGACGGAGAAGGCUAGGCCAGCUUGGCGUUGGUUGUCCAAGUUUAAGGUGGUAGGCUGAGAUCUUAGGUAAAUCCGGGAUCUUAAGGCCGAGAGCUGAUGACGAGUUGCCUUUAGGCGACGAAGUGGUUGAUGCCAUGCUUCCAAGAAAAGCUUCUAAGCUUCAGAUAACUAGGAACCGUACCCCAAACCGACACAGGUGGUUGGGUAGAGAAUACCAAGGCGCUUGAGAGAACUCGGGUGAAGGAACUAGGCAAAAUGGCACCGUAACUUCGGGAGAAGGUGCGCCGGUGAGGGUGAAGGACUUGCUCCGUAAGCUCAUGCCGGUCGAAGAUACCAGGCCGCUGCGACUGUUUAUUAAAAACACAGCACUCUGCAAACACGAAAGUGGACGUAUAGGGUGUGACGCCUGCCCGGUGCCGGAAGGUUAAUUGAUGGGGUUAGCUAACGCGAAGCUCUUGAUCGAAGCCCCGGUAAACGGCGGCCGUAACUAUAACGGUCCUAAGGUAGCGAAAUUCCUUGUCGGGUAAGUUCCGACCUGCACGAAUGGCGUAACGAUGGCGGCGCUGUCUCCACCCGAGACUCAGUGAAAUUGAAAUCGCUGUGAAGAUGCAGUGUAUCCGCGGCUAGACGGAAAGACCCCGUGAACCUUUACUAUAGCUUUGCACUGGACUUUGAAUUUGCUUGUGUAGGAUAGGUGGGAGGCUUUGAAGCGUGGACGCCAGUUCGCGUGGAGCCAUCCUUGAAAUACCACCCUGGCAACUUUGAGGUUCUAACUCAGGUCCGUUAUCCGGAUCGAGGACAGUGUAUGGUGGGUAGUUUGACUGGGGCGGUCUCCUCCUAAAGAGUAACGGAGGAGUACGAAGGUGCGCUCAGACCGGUCGGAAAUCGGUCGUAGAGUAUAAAGGCAAAAGCGCGCUUGACUGCGAGACAGACACGUCGAGCAGGUACGAAAGUAGGUCUUAGUGAUCCGGUGGUUCUGUAUGGAAGGGCCAUCGCUCAACGGAUAAAAGGUACUCCGGGGAUAACAGGCUGAUACCGCCCAAGAGUUCAUAUCGACGGCGGUGUUUGGCACCUCGAUGUCGGCUCAUCACAUCCUGGGGCUGAAGCCGGUCCCAAGGGUAUGGCUGUUCGCCAUUUAAAGUGGUACGCGAGCUGGGUUUAGAACGUCGUGAGACAGUUCGGUCCCUAUCUGCCGUGGACGUUUGAGAUUUGAGAGGGGCUGCUCCUAGUACGAGAGGACCGGAGUGGACGAACCUCUGGUGUUCCGGUUGUCACGCCAGUGGCAUUGCCGGGUAGCUAUGUUCGGAAGAGAUAACCGCUGAAAGCAUCUAAGCGGGAAACUUGCCUCAAGAUGAGAUCUCACUGGAGCCUUGAGCUCCCUGAAGGGCCGUCGAAGACUACGACGUUGAUAGGUUGGGUGUGUAAGCGCUGUGAGGCGUUGAGCUAACCAAUACUAAUUGCCCGUGAGGCUUGACCAU